AUGGCAUCGUUAGCCAACCUCUUAGUGUCGCUUCUCUUGAUUGCAAUCUUCUCUCCUACACCCAUACUAUGCUAUCUUAAUCAAGCUUCUGUAAGGGUACAACAGGGUGCUACCAACACCUCUGCCUACCACACUUACAUCGUGCUCGUUGAGCCACCACCCUUUAAUGCCGAUGAAGACAUGUACCAUCAUUGUUAUGAGUCCUUUUUGCCCAGUUCGCGUGAUGGCGACUCGGGCAAGGCACGUCUUGUGCACUCUUACACCAAGGUGUUUAGCGGCUUCGCCACAAUGCUCACUGAUGGGGAGCUUGAUGCAGUUGCCAAGAAACCGGGGUUCGUGCGGGCAUUCAAGGAGAAGACACGGUACCUCAUGACCACGCGCACACCAAAGUUCCUUGGGUUGAGGAACAGCACCGGGUUUUGGAGGGACGCUAGCUACGGUAAGGGGGUCAUUGUUGGCUUGCUCGAUACCGGCAUCUAUGCAAAACACGGUUCAUUCGAUGAUCGCGACAUCCCGUCGCCCCCGGCAAGGUGGAAGGGCUCGUGCAAGGCGACCCGGUGCAACAACAAGCUCAUCGGUGCCAAGUCAUUCGUUAAACACGAAGACACUGACGAUGAAGACGGGCAUGGCACACACACCUCAUCCACGGCGGCUGGUAACUUCAUCAUCAACGCGUCAUAUCAUGGCAUGGCAGCGGGCACCGCAUCUGGGGUUGCUCCCGGUGCCCAUAUCGCCAUGUACAAGGUGUGCAAUAGUGUGGGUUGUUAUGAGUCUGACAUAUUAGCUGGCCUCGACGCGGCAAUCAAGGAUGGGGUGGACGUGCUCUCAAUCUCCAUUGGCCUCGGUGACAAGUUCGAUAAGGACCCCAUCGCGAUCGGCUUAUUCAGUGCCAUGUCAAAGGGUAUUGUUGUGGUUUGCAGUGGUGGUAAUGACGGAGCCGAGCCACAUUCAAUCAAAAACGAUGCACCAUGGUUGAUCACAGUCGCUGCCGGCUCGGUGGAUCGAAGUUUUGAUGUUGGCGUCAAUCUCGGCAACGGCAUGAGCCUUCACGGUGAAGCGCUUAACCAGGUGGCAAAGCCGAUGUCAAAGAUGUAUCCACUCCUCUACUCCGAGGCACAGCGGGACUGUAACUACAUGCUUAACCAUGUUGUCGCCCAGAAGAUCGUGGUCUGUGACUCGGAGGCUCCUUGGUUCGUCGAUUCCAUACUGCAAGCCGGCGCGGCCGGUGUAGUGCUCGUCAACAAGGCAUCCGAUGGCUACACGGUUACUCUUGAUGACGACAACUCCGGUGUGGUGCAAAUGAGCGCCGUCCUCAGAGCUUACGCGGCAUCAUCAUCAAGCAGAUGGGCACGCGCGAGCUUCUCGUACCACAAUACAUUCCUUGGCUAUCGUCCGGCCCCUGUAGUGGCGUCGUUCUCUUCUCGAGGUCCAAGCAAGCAUUUCCCCGGCGUGCUCAAACCAGACAUAUUGGCGCCGGGGCUCAACAUCCUCGCUGCUUCUCCGUGGACGGAGUCCAAAAUAGGCCCUUUCAACAUAUUAUCCGGCACAUCCAUGGCAGCGCCACACAUCAGUGGUGUUGCAGCACUUAUCAAGGGCUUGCAUCCCGAUUGGUCCCCGGCGGCCGUCAAGUCGGCCAUGAUGACGACGGCGUACGUUGUUAAUAGCACCGGCGGCUCGGUCUUGGACGAGAAGCACGGGAAAGCGGACGCGUACGCGAUGGGCGUGGGCCAUGUGAAUCCAACAAGAGCCGCUGACCCUGGCUUGGUGUACGACCUGGGUGUCAUCGACUAUGCUGGCUACAUCUGCUGGCUCCUCGGUGAUAGAGGCCUGGCAACCAUCGUGCGUAACAAGAGCUUGACCUGCGCAAAGCUACCAAAGGUCAGAGAUGUUGAGCUCAACUACCCAACUAUAACUGUGCCACUGAAGCCGACUGCCUUGAUGGUGAAUCGGACGGUGACGAACGUCGGGCCGCCAUCAUCGACAUACGUUGCGAAGCUGGACAUGCCCAAGUCACUUACAGCACGCGUCACCCCGAACAAGCUGGUGUUCUCGAAGGCCGGGGAGAAGAAGACAUUCAGCGUGUCAGUGAGUGGCAAGGGCGUUCAUGGACAAAAACAUGUGGAGGGAAGCUUGAGCUGGGUGUCCACGCGACAUGUUGUGAGGAGCCCCAUCAUCGCUGUUCCUAAUCUUCCCGAAUCUCCACCGUCUCAAGAGAGUUUUUAG
Molecule: ribosomal RNA, 2223 nt
Filed under: Triticum aestivum (bread wheat)
Lineage: Eukaryota; Viridiplantae; Streptophyta; Magnoliopsida; Poales; Poaceae
Description: partial small subunit ribosomal RNA
Source: RNAcentral